GCAGACACAUUCCAGCCAUUCAGCAGCAGACCCUCCCUCCCAGACCCUCCCACCUCCUGGACAGCUCACUAAGAAGCAGCUUCAAAAUGGAUGCUGUCCAGGAGGUGGGAGGGUCUGGGAGGGAGGGUCUGCUGCUGAUUGGCUGGAAUGUGUCUG
RNAcentral lists this microRNA precursor (156 nucleotides) under Pelobates cultripes (western spadefoot toad). The record is from RNAcentral. Lineage: Eukaryota; Metazoa; Chordata; Amphibia; Anura; Pelobatidae.